This 234-nucleotide long non-coding RNA is filed under the name Lathyrus oleraceus (garden pea). Its description in RNAcentral is "Pisum sativum (pea) long non-coding RNA (PSAT_LNC037532)". The record is from RNAcentral. Lineage: Eukaryota; Viridiplantae; Streptophyta; Magnoliopsida; Fabales; Fabaceae.
AAUUAUCACAAAACUCUAAUGUGACUCAAUGCAAGACAUGUGACUCUAUGCAUGCGGUACCUCAAUGUGAACCCAACGUUUCAGCGUUUUCCGAUUCAAUAUCUAGAACCCAAGCACGCUUCCGAUCCGGACAAGAUUAAAGCUACUACCACACCUAUUUCCAAUUAAGGAUCAACGUGUGCUAUGUUUAUUUCCAAUUAAGGAUCACUGUCUACUACCAUGCCUAUUUCCAAU